Molecule: transfer RNA, 72 nt
Filed under: Candidatus Pacearchaeota archaeon
Lineage: Archaea; Nanobdellati
Description: tRNA-Cys
Rfam family: tRNA
About the family: Transfer RNA (tRNA) molecules are approximately 80 nucleotides in length. Their secondary structure includes four short double-helical elements and three loops (D, anti-codon, and T loops). Further hydrogen bonds mediate the characteristic L-shaped molecular structure. tRNAs have two regions of fundamental functional importance: the anti-codon, which is responsible for specific mRNA codon recognition, and the 3' end, to which the tRNAs corresponding amino acid is attached (by aminoacyl-tRNA synthetases). tRNAs cope with the degeneracy of the genetic code in two manners: having more than one tRNA (with a specific anti-codon) for a particular amino acid; and 'wobble' base-pairing, i.e. permitting non-standard base-pairing at the 3rd anti-codon position.
Source: RNAcentral
GCAGGGAUCGCAUAGUGGUAUUGCGCGGGGUUGCAGACCCCGUUUUCCCGGGUUCGAUUCCCGGUCCCUGCU